This 481-nucleotide ribosomal RNA is filed under the name uncultured bacterium. RNAcentral describes it as "bacterial SSU rRNA". It matches the Rfam family "Bacterial small subunit ribosomal RNA", at positions 329 to 803 of the family's 1533-position model. The record is from RNAcentral.
UGGCUAACUCCUACGGGAGGCAGCAGUGGGGAAUUUUGGAAAAUGGGGGCAACCCUGACCCAGCAAUGCCGCGUGAGUAAAGAAGGCCUUCGGGUUGUAAAGCUUUUUUGUCAGGGAAGAAACGGUAGUAGCUAAUAUCUAUUACUAAUGACGGUACCUGAAGAAUAAGCACCGGCUAACUUCGUGCCAGCAGCCGCGGUAAUACGUAGGGUGCAAGCGUUAAUCGGAAUUACUGGGCGUAAAGCGUGCGCAGGCGGUUGUGUAAGUCAGAUGUGAAAUCCCCGGGCUCAACCUGGGAAUUGCAUUUGAGACUGCACGGCUAGAGUGCGUCAGAGGGUGGUAGAAUUCCGCGUGUAGCAGUGAAAUGCGUAGAUAUGUGGAGGAAUACCGAUGGCGAAGGCAGCCCACUGGGAUAACACUGACGCUCAUGCACGAAAGCGUGGGGAGCAAACAGGAUUAGAAACCCUUGUAGUCCAGCUGG